Molecule: ribosomal RNA, 253 nt
Filed under: uncultured bacterium
Lineage: Bacteria
Description: partial 16S ribosomal RNA
Rfam family: Bacterial small subunit ribosomal RNA
Source: RNAcentral
UACGUGGGGGGCAAGCGUUAUCCGGAUUUACUGGGUGUAAAGGGAGCGUAGACGGCUUUGCAAGCCAGAUGUGAAAGCCCGGGGCUCAACCCCGGGACUGCAUUUGGAACUGUGUGGCUAGAGUAUCGGAGAGGCAGGCGGAAUUCCUAGUGUAGCGGUGAAAUGCGUAGAUAUUAGGAGGAACACCAGUGGCGAAGGCGGCCUGCUGGACGAUGACUGACGUUGAGGCUCGAAAGCGUGGGGAGCAAACAGG